GCCCGAUUGGCACAAUGGUCAGCGCGUGAGACUUUUAUAUCAUCCCCUCCUUGAAUUCAAUGAGGGAUAUAUGGAGAUCUCAAGGUUACGAGUUCGACCCUCGUAUCGGGCG
Aspergillus homomorphus CBS 101889 is the source of this 112-nucleotide non-coding RNA. The record is from the annotation of a RefSeq genome assembly. Lineage: Eukaryota; Fungi; Ascomycota; Eurotiomycetes; Eurotiales; Aspergillaceae.